This is a long non-coding RNA of Poecilia reticulata (guppy), 927 nucleotides long. RefSeq lists it as uncharacterized. NCBI's taxonomy places the organism in Eukaryota, Metazoa, Chordata, Actinopteri, Cyprinodontiformes, Poeciliidae. The record is from RefSeq and is a predicted model, not a curated record.
CCUUCCUGUAUUGUGGAUCAGAGGUAAAGUGGGCGGGAGGACCUCGAUCGAUGCUGCGUUGGGAAGUUUCCAACACUGUGAAGGCAACUCCAAUUUCAGUUCCCGCAAGUUCCAAAUUCCUCCGGUCCGCAGCAGCCUAGAGCAGCAGACUGUGGGGAGGGAGAGAGCAGCGCAGCACAGCCGGCCGGUGAAGUUGCAGUGACUCUACAGAUCUCUAUGCGCUCUUCCGCACGUCUCCCGGAAUAUUUCUGGGGACAUGAAAUGCAGCGUCGCUGGUCCCGCUUUGCGCAGCGCCCCGCAGAUCUGCCACCACAAUGUGUUGCCGACUAUCGCUGACGCUUUGUUAGGGAUCGGGUGACGUUGGUGCUGGGGAGGAGCCUGGACUGUCCUGCACAAAUAUUACAGCGAGCAACGGAGCCCCAACUUCAGGCUGCACAUCGAGUGAUUGAAUAGGAAUUAAUGACAUUGUAAGGUGAAGGUGAAGAUGUUAGUUGUUGUGGUUUUUGGUAAGAGGAUGUGUUGCCGUGGCACACACCCAGGGCAGCACAUUCUAGGGGCGUCACAAGCACCCAAAAUGAAUUUGAUAUUGUUUACUUGCCCACUGGGGACUGAGUGUCCCUGUUUUGGCUUCAAUGUAAGUAGAGAAAGGAUCCAUGUUAAUUUAUCCGUUCAUCAUUUUAUGCCUUUUAGUUUUGGUUAUUUUACACCUUUUUUUAGGCUUGAAAAUUAACCGUCGUCAGUCGCAUAACAUUUCAUACCGACCGUGCAUGCAUUGGUACCUGCCUUGGAAACGUUUCAUAACCCCCAACAACCACAGUUUAAAAUGAUUCUGUAAUUUUACUACUACACUCUUCCGAUUUAUGUAGCUGUACUCUAAUGUAAUGUUAAACGAAUCUAAUAAUAUAAACCAGGACACUUUGUUUUGUG